Molecule: ribosomal RNA, 259 nt
Filed under: uncultured bacterium
Lineage: Bacteria
Description: partial 16S ribosomal RNA
Rfam family: Bacterial small subunit ribosomal RNA
Source: RNAcentral
GUCCACGCCGUAACGAUGUCAACUAGCCGUUGGAAUCCUUGAGAUUUAGUGGCGCAGCUAACGCAUUAAGUUGACCGCCUGGGGAGUACGGCCGCAAGGUUAAACUCAAAUGAAUUGACGGGGCCCGCACAAGCGGUGGAGCAUGUGGUUUAAUUCGAAGCAACGCGAAGAACCUUACCAGGCCUUGACAUCCAAUGAACUUUCCAGAGAUGGAUUGGUGCCUUCGGGAACAUUGAGACAGGUGCUGCAUGGCUGUCGU